Molecule: ribosomal RNA, 1530 nt
Filed under: Pectobacterium carotovorum subsp. carotovorum
Lineage: Bacteria; Pseudomonadati; Pseudomonadota; Gammaproteobacteria; Enterobacterales; Pectobacteriaceae
Description: bacterial SSU rRNA
Rfam family: Bacterial small subunit ribosomal RNA
Source: RNAcentral
AGAGUUUGAUCAUGGCUCAGAUUGAACGCUGGCGGCAGGCCUAACACAUGCAAGUCGAGCGGUAGCACAGAGGAGCUUGCUCCUUGGGUGACGAGCGGCGGACGGGUGAGUAAUGUCUGGGAAACUGCCUGAUGGAGGGGGAUAACUACUGGAAACGGUAGCUAAUACCGCAUAACCUCGCAAGAGCAAAGAGGGGGACCUUAGGGCCUCUCGCCAUCAGAUGUGCCCAGAUGGGAUUAGCUAGUAGGUGAGGUAAUGGCUCACCUAGGCGACGAUCCCUAGCUGGUCUGAGAGGAUGACCAGCCACACUGGAACUGAGACACGGUCCAGACUCCUACGGGAGGCAGCAGUGGGGAAUAUUGCACAAUGGGCGCAAGCCUGAUGCAGCCAUGCCGCGUGUGUGAAGAAGGCCUUCGGGUUGUAAAGCACUUUCAGCGAGGAGGAAGGCGGUAAGGUUAAUAACCUUAUCGAUUGACGUUACUCGCAGAAGAAGCACCGGCUAACUCCGUGCCAGCAGCCGCGGUAAUACGGAGGGUGCAAGCGUUAAUCGGAAUGACUGGGCGUAAAGCGCACGCAGGCGGUCUGUUAAGUUGGAUGUGAAAUCCCCGGGCUUAACCUGGGAACUGCAUUCAAAACUGACAGGCUAGAGUCUUGUAGAGGGGGGUAGAAUUCCAGGUGUAGCGGUGAAAUGCGUAGAGAUCUGGAGGAAUACCGGUGGCGAAGGCGGCCCCCUGGACAAAGACUGACGCUCAGGUGCGAAAGCGUGGGGAGCAAACAGGAUUAGAUACCCUGGUAGUCCACGCUGUAAACGAUGUCGAUUUGGAGGUUGUGCCCUUGAGGCGUGGCUUCCGGAGCUAACGCGUUAAAUCGACCGCCUGGGGAGUACGGCCGCAAGGUUAAAACUCAAAUGAAUUGACGGGGGCCCGCACAAGCGGUGGAGCAUGUGGUUUAAUUCGAUGCAACGCGAAGAACCUUACCUACUCUUGACAUCCAGAGAAUUCGCUAGAGAUAGCUUAGUGCCUUCGGGAACUCUGAGACAGGUGCUGCAUGGCUGUCGUCAGCUCGUGUUGUGAAAUGUUGGGUUAAGUCCCGCAACGAGCGCAACCCUUAUCCUUUGUUGCCAGCGAUUCGGUCGGGAACUCAAAGGAGACUGCCGGUGAUAAACCGGAGGAAGGUGGGGAUGACGUCAAGUCAUCAUGGCCCUUACGAGUAGGGCUACACACGUGCUACAAUGGCGUAUACAAAGAGAAGCGACCUCGCGAGAGCAAGCGGACCUCAUAAAGUACGUCGUAGUCCGGAUUGGAGUCUGCAACUCGACUCCAUGAAGUCGGAAUCGCUAGUAAUCGUAGAUCAGAAUGCUACGGUGAAUACGUUCCCGGGCCUUGUACACACCGCCCGUCACACCAUGGGAGUGGGUUGCAAAAGAAGUAGGUAGCUUAACCUUCGGGAGGGCGCUUACCACUUUGUGAUUCAUGACUGGGGUGAAGUCGUAACAAGGUAACCGUAGGGGAACCUGCGGUUGGAUCACCU